Molecule: long non-coding RNA, 950 nt
Filed under: Brachypodium distachyon (stiff brome)
Lineage: Eukaryota; Viridiplantae; Streptophyta; Magnoliopsida; Poales; Poaceae
Description: long non-coding RNA (BDIS_LNC000930)
Source: RNAcentral
GGCAAUUUUUAUGUAUGUUUCAUUCAGAAGAAACUUUUCUAAUGAUCUUAAUUGCCUGAUUUUUUUUUCUUCCAAGGAGUAAUGGUAUGUAUGUUUCAUUCCAAAGAAGAAACUUUUCUAAUGAUCUUAAUUGCCUGAGAUUUUUUUCCCAAAGGAGUAAUGGUAUGUAUGUUUCAUUCAGAAGAAACUUUUCUAAUGAUCUUAUUUGCCUGAUUUUUUUUUCCAAGGAGUAUUUAUGUAUGUUUCAUUCAUAAGAAACUUUUCUAAUGAUCUUAUUUGCCUGAUUUUUUUUUCCAAGGAGUAAUGGUAAAGAUAGUAGCCUCUUCCCCUUCCAUGCCUCCGAGUGAAGACUGAAUGCGAGAUCUUGCAAUUAGCUAAUGCUAAGAUCUUUAGUUAUAAUGAUCCCAAUUUAAUUAGCCACAACCUCCCUCACUAACCUCCCUCACUAGAUUCACAUCAGAUCAUGUCCCAUUAGUUAUCUCCAUCUCCUCAUCAAUCCCUCGCCCCACGAAUUUCAGAUUUGAUAAUAGCUGGGCCGCACACCCUGACUUCAUGGGCAUCAUCCAAUCACCUUGGGCCCAGAGCAAUUCACACUCCGAUGCCACGGCGGACCUCGUCAAUACGACCCAAAAAACGAGAGCUGUCCUAAAAAAAUGGAGGAAGCGGUGUAUCCCGCAUACACAGAUUGAAACAAAUUGUAAGAUCGUCAUCGCCCUUCUGGAUAGACACGAAGAACGAAGGCGCCUAGCGCCGAUCGAACAGGCUCUGCGAUUUGCGAAGGCUUAUGAUCUCCCUCCUGCAGCGGGCAAUUAGGGCCAAAGUGUCGCACUGGAAACAGCGUGGCAAAGUUCGGCUCGCUGUGGAAGGACACGAAAAUACGAAGUAUUUCCAUGUGGCUGCUUCCCAACGUACGCGUAAGAAUAAAAUUGUAACCCUCGAAUUAGACAUGC